GUGAAUCAUCGAAUUUUUGAACGCAUAUUGCACUCUCUGGUAUUCCGGAGAGUAUGCCUGUUUGAGGGUAAUUAAAAAGAAUCUGUUACCAAUUUUUUUUGGUUAAUUGUAAUUAGUUUUCCGCGUUAAUAGCGUUAGCUUGAUAUAAAUGGUAGUCUCAGUUUAGUCGAGACGCGUCAUAUUGUUAUUUCUCGAAAUCA
Molecule: unclassified non-coding RNA, 200 nt
Filed under: Ambisporaceae sp.
Lineage: Eukaryota; Fungi; Glomeromycota; Glomeromycetes; Archaeosporales; Ambisporaceae
Description: partial contains 5.8S ribosomal RNA and internal transcribed spacer 2
Rfam family: 5.8S ribosomal RNA (bases 1-71)
Source: RNAcentral